Molecule: RNA transcript, 3665 nt
Organism: Lolium perenne
Lineage: Eukaryota; Viridiplantae; Streptophyta; Magnoliopsida; Poales; Poaceae
Gene name: protease Do-like 7
Source: RefSeq, a predicted model, not a curated record
UUUUACUCUUCCGGUCAAACCCCGCACUCACUAGGGUUCCUCACUCACUCACUCACUCGGCUCACAAUUUCCUGCCACGAACCCUAACUAGCGGCGGCGGCGGCUGCUGGAGCCUGGAGGAGGCGAGCGACGGCGGCUGCUGGAGCCUGGAGGCGAGCCACAUCCGUGUCUAGAGCUGGGUGCUGCCGCUGCUGCUGUAGAAGGCGCUGCAGCAGGAAGAAGAUCGGAGUGGCAUAGAUCUAACCAACCCUUGUUUCCAUGGCGAUGGAGAUCGAGCCACCCGCACCCGCCACGGCGGAUGACUGGCGGCACGCGCUCGCCCGCGUGGUGCCUGCUAUCACCGUAAUCCAUGUAACCAUGCCACGCGCCUUUGACACCGAGAUCGCCGGCGCCGGCGCUGCCACCGGCUUCGUCGUAGACAAGGCCCGGGGGAUCAUCCUCACCAACCGCCACGUCGUCAGUCCAGGACCCGUCGUUGCAGAGGCCAUGUUCUCCAACAGAGAGGAGAUCCCUGUGUACCCCCUCUACAGAGAUCCUGUGCACGAUUUUGGGUUCUUUAGGUACAAUCCAAAUGCCAUACAGUUCCUUGAGUAUGACGAGAUCCCUCUAGCACCCGAAGCGGCAUCCGUUGGGCUAGAUAUUCGGGUGGUCGGCAAUGACAGCGGCGAAAAGGUUUCAAUUUUGGCGGGAACACUGGCUCGACUUGAUAGAGAAGCUCCUGUUUACGCAAAGGAUGGGUACAAUGAUUUCAACACAUUCUAUAUGCAGGCUGCAUCUGGUACUAAAGGUGGCUCUAGCGGUUCCCCUGUUAUUGAUUGCCAAGGAAGAGCUGUUGCACUGAAUACAGGAGGCAGAGCUUCCAGCGCUAUUGCAUUCUUCCUUCCAUUAGAGUGUGUUGUUAGAGCACUCAAUUUGAUACGUCAUCAUUGGGUUGCAUUUGGCAGCAAGCCAGAAUCUGUUUAUAUUCCCCGUGGUACUUUGCAGGUAACUUUUGAACACAAAGGUUUUGAAGAAACUCGACGAAUUGGACUCAGGAAUGAUACCGAGAAGAUGGUAAGACUUGAUUCUCCAGCAGGUGUGACUGGAAUGCUGGUUGUUCAUUCUGUGGUGCCAGAUGGGCCUGCACACAAACUUUUGCAACCUGGUGACGUGCUGGUUCGCAUGAAUGGGGAGUUAGUAACACAAUUUCUCACCCUGGAGACCUUCCUUGACGGUAGCAUUGGCUCGGAAAUAGGUUUGCAGAUCGAAAGAUCUGGAAUUACUUUAACAAUAAAGCUGAAGGUAGAAGAUUUGCACUCCAUAACUCCAAAUCAUUUUUUGGAAGUUGGUGGUGCUGUCAUCCAUCCACUUUCAUACCAGCAGGCUAGAAACUUCGGGUUCAAAUGUGGUCUUGUAUAUGUUGCUGAGGCAGGGUACAUGCUCUCCCGAGCAUCGGUUCCACAACAUUCAAUUAUAAGGAGGUUUGCAGGAAAGGAUAUUGCACAUUUAGGUGACCUUAUUUCAGCUAUUUCAAAGCUGUCUAGGGGAGCGAAAGUGCCUCUUGAAUAUGUAAUAUACAAGGACCGACACCGGAACAAGACCGCAGUAGUAACAAUUGAUCAGCACGGGUGGUAUGCGUCUCCUCAGUUAUAUACUCGAAGUGAUGCAAAUGGACUGUGGACUGCAAAAUUAGCUAUAGCACUUGAAUCUGUUAUAGGAACUUUAUCAUCCUCUGGAGAUUUAGAUGACAUAAAAGCUGAUCUGAGGCAAUCUACUAGCCUGGAAGGUUCUGAUCUUGCUGGAACAAUAUCUAGUAAUUCUUCAUUGGCAGAACAAGCAAUUGAACCAUCCCUUGUAAUGUUGGAGGUGGACGUGCCACCAAUGUGCAUGCUUGAUGGACUUCAUGCUAAAUUUUUCGCUGGAGCUGGUGUGAUAAUAUACCAUUCUGACACCUUAGGUCUCAUUGCUGUUGACAAGAAUACAGUCAUUAUACCUGCUUGUGAUAUAAUGAUAUCUUUUGCUGCAUAUCCCAUUGAAAUACCUGGAGAGGUUGUUUUUCUGCAUCCUGUUCACAACUUUGCAUUUGUUGCGUAUGAUCCUUCUGCACUAGGAGCUGGAGCAUCUGCUGUCCGGGCUUCAGAACUUUUUGCUGAACCUGCCUUGCGCCGAGGAGAUUCCGUCUACCUAGUUGGGCUUGGGCUGGAUGGAAGCUUACAGGUUACAUCAAGGAAAUCAACCAUAACAAGUUGUAAAGCUGUUGACAUUCGCUCGGGUGACCGCCCACGAUAUCGUGCAAUAAAUAUGGAGGUCCUUGAGCUUGAUAAUGAUUUUGGUAGCCAAUUUUCGGGUGUAUUGACGGAUGACCAAGGGAGAGUUCAAGCACUAUGGGCAAGUGUCUCCAGCCAGAUAUUUGGUUCUAGCAUUUCGGAGGACGAUCAGUUUGUUAUAGGUAUACCAAUAUAUCCGAUAAUUGAAAUCCUUCAGAAAUUCAUCUCAGGAGCUCCUGGACAAUUUCGUCUUAUCAACGGAAUUAGGAGACCAAUGCCAUAUGUCAGACUUCUGGAGGUGGAACUUUAUCCAACUUUGCUAUCGAAGGCAAGACAUUCUGGAUUGAACGGUAGCUGGGUGCAGGCUCUCACUAAGAAGGACCCUGUGCGAAGACAAGUACUGCAAGUGAAAUGUUGUUUUGCUGGAUCAAAAGCGGAAAAUCUUCUCGAAGAUGGAGAUUUGAUUCUUGCUAUCAAUAAGGAGCCUAUUACAUGCUUCCUUGAUAUUGAGAAUGCUUGCCAAAAGUUGGAUCAGUCAAUCGAUUCAGAUGGAAUGCUUGACAUGACAAUAUUUCGGCAGGGAAAGGAAAUAGACCUCAUUGUUGGAACAGAUGUAAGGGACGGUAAUGGUUCAACACGUAUGGUGAACUGGUGUGGAUGCACAGUUCAGAGUUCGUAUCCGGCACUGCGUGGUCUUGGUUUUUUGCCUGCGGAAGGUCAUGGUGUUUAUGUUGUUAGAUGGUCUCGUGGAAGUCCCUCGCAUAGAUAUGGUCUCAGUGCUCUCCAGUGGAUAAUUGAGGUCAACGACCAACGAACUCCAGAUCUGGGAUCUUUUAUAGAGGUGGUGAAGGGAUUGGAAGAUGGCCAAUUUGUUAGGGUGAGAACCAUCCAGCUGGAUGGAAAACCCCGCUUCCUUGCUCUGAAACAAGACCUUCACUACUGGCCAACCUGGGAGCUCAGCUUUGACCCAGAGACUGCAACAUGGCACAGAAACAAUAUAAGCAUUGCUGCAGAGAGGCGUGCCAUAGAGGUCACUGCGAGCACAAGUGCGGGGGCAUGAUCAGCAGAAGCAAUGUGACACCAUGUCUCCGGCUAUUAGCUGUGUUUCUGUUCCAGAACUAUUAGGUGUUGCACACCACAAAAAGGGGUACCACUUAGGGUUAAGCGAAACAAUGUCUGGGUUCUAGAACCAUUCCUAUUGGUCCGUUUAUGCAAACCAUGUCGCUGAAUUUCAAUUUCAACAUGCUGGAAAUUGGGAGCCUCAAGUUUGUAUUCACAAAUCUGGGUUGUACCCACUUUAGCUUGCUCGGUACUAAGUUGCUGUGUAUCAACAUGGAUGUUGUGCAUUAUAUAUGAUGUGUGUAUACAUGUACAGGUUAGUAUCCCAAUUGUCUGCAAGUUUCAGUCCUUUUUGUUGUC